AGCGGCGGACGGAUGAGUAACGCGUGAGCAACCUGCCUUUAUCAGGGGGAUAACGCAUCGAAAGAUGUGCUAAUACCGCGUAGAUAAAGAUGGGCUCGCGUCCGAUUAGCUAGUUGGUGAGAUAACAGCCCACCAAGGCGACGAUCGGUAGCCGACCUGAGAGGGUGAUCGGCCACAUUGGAACUGAGAGACGGUCCAGACUCCUACGGGAGGCAGCAGUGGGGAAUAUUGGGCAAUGGGCGAAAGCCUGACCCAGCAACGCCGCGUGAGGGAAGAAGGGUUUCGGCUCGUAAACCUCUGUCCUAUGGGACGCGGUACCAUAGGAGGAAGCCCCGGCUAACUACGUGCCAGCAGCCGCGGUAAUACGUAGGGGGCGAGCGUUGUCCGGAAUGAUUGGGCGUAAAGGGCGCGUAGGCGGCCUGCUAAGUCUGGAGUGAAAGUCCUGCUUUCAAGGUGGGAAUUGCUUUGGAUACUGGUGGGCUGGAGUGCAGGAGAGGAAAGCGGAAUUACCGGUGUAGCGGUGAAAUGCGUAGAGAUCGGUAGGAACACCAGUGGCGAAGGCGGCUUUCUGGACUGAAACUGACGCUGAGGCGCGAAAGCGUGGGGAGCAAACAGGAUUAGAUACCCUGGU
This 631-nucleotide ribosomal RNA is filed under the name uncultured bacterium. RNAcentral describes it as "bacterial SSU rRNA". It matches the Rfam family "Bacterial small subunit ribosomal RNA", at positions 94 to 791 of the family's 1533-position model. The record is from RNAcentral.